RNAcentral lists this ribosomal RNA (357 nucleotides) under Triticum aestivum (bread wheat). RNAcentral describes it as "partial small subunit ribosomal RNA". The record is from RNAcentral. Lineage: Eukaryota; Viridiplantae; Streptophyta; Magnoliopsida; Poales; Poaceae.
AUGGCUGAAGCAAGUGUGGAGCCAGCACCAACCAAUGUGCCAGAAGCCAAUGAUGCAACUUCUCCUGAAGUAUCUGUGGUGCAGCCUGACACCUCUGUUGUUGCCACUGCUCAUGUUCCGCCACCAAGGCCCCAUACAAUUGAGCAAGCAUACAACUAUGGUCAGCUAAUCACUGUCAAAUGGCCCGUUCUGGUCCCUCCGCCUAAUGCCUCUGGUCCUCAGUUUGAUUAUCAUGUUGAGCAUAGGCCUCUAGUCCAGAAACCAAAGCCAAGACUGCCAAGGUUCCCAGGUACUGCCACCUCUACAGGGUCCUUCAAUGCAAAUGGCUUCAAAAGCCACAACACCUUCUUUGCAUAG